This 271-nucleotide long non-coding RNA is filed under the name Centruroides sculpturatus (bark scorpion). Its description in RNAcentral is "uncharacterized LOC111635402". The record is from RNAcentral. Lineage: Eukaryota; Metazoa; Arthropoda; Arachnida; Scorpiones; Buthidae.
GGAAUAAUCAAUUGUAUACCAAUUUGAUAAUUAUUGUCCAAUGUAUGUUUUAGAUCAAGGAUUUUAUAGAACUGUUUUAUAAGUAAAAGGUACAAUCAAUUGUGUACAACUUUAAUAACAGCCGUACUCAAGUUGGCUAAAAGGAAAAAAUAUUGUGAACAAGCUGAUGUUACUGGAAAAUAUCGGGAGUAGCUGUUACUUCAAUUUUUAAAAAAACUUGUAUGCAUAGUUGGCUGAAGAGGGGCUUAAAAGCCCGAAACGUGUAAAAUUU